RNAcentral lists this ribosomal RNA (245 nucleotides) under uncultured bacterium. RNAcentral's name for it is "partial 16S ribosomal RNA". It matches the Rfam family "Bacterial small subunit ribosomal RNA", at positions 335 to 597 of the family's 1533-position model. The record is from RNAcentral.
UACCCUACGGACGCAGCAGUGGGGAAUAUUGCGCAAUGGGGGCAACCCUGACGCAGCAACGACGCGUGAUUGAAGAAGGCCUUCGGGUUGUAAAGAUAUUUAAUCGGGGACGAAUUUUGACGGUACCCGAAGAAUGAGCUCCGGCUAACUACGUGCCAGCAGCCGCGGUAAUACGUAGGGAGCAAGCGUUAUCCGGAUUUACUGGGUGUAAAGGGCGUGUAGGCGGGAAUGCAAGCCAGAAGUGA